Molecule: non-coding RNA, 88 nt
Organism: Clostridium sp. CAG:264
Lineage: Bacteria; Bacillati; Bacillota; Clostridia; Eubacteriales; Clostridiaceae
Source: Rfam
GGAGAUAUACCCAAGUGGCUGAAGGGUCCGCUCUCGAAAAGCGGUAGGUCGGGCAACCGGCGCGAGAGUUCAAAUCUCUCUAUCUCCG